AAGACCUUGCGCUUUUGGAGCGGCCGAUGUCUGAUUAGCUAGUUGGUGAGGUAAAGGCUUACCAAGGCUUCGAUCAGUAGCUGGUCUGAGAGGACGACCAGCCACACUGGGACUGAGACACGGCCCAGACUCCUACGGGAGGCAGCAGUGGGGAAUUUUGGACAAUGGGGGAAACCCUGAUCCAGCCAUGCCGCGUGAGUGAAGAAGGCCUUCGGGUUGUAAAGCUCUUUCAGCCGGAAAGAAAUGGUUACGGUUAAUACCCGUGACUAAUGACGGUACCGGAAGAAGAAGCACCGGCUAACUACGUGCCAGCAGCCGCGGUAAUACGUAGGGUGCAAGCGUUAAUCGGAAUUACUGGGCGUAAAGCGUGCGCAGGCGGUUUUGUAAGUCAGAUGUGAAAUCCCCGGGCUCAACCUGGGAACU
This 423-nucleotide ribosomal RNA is filed under the name uncultured bacterium. RNAcentral's name for it is "bacterial SSU rRNA". It matches the Rfam family "Bacterial small subunit ribosomal RNA", at positions 207 to 622 of the family's 1533-position model. The record is from RNAcentral.